UCUGUGCGARGUDAACCAUUAAAUGCCCCGBUGGGGAGUACGGCCGNAAGGUUGAAACUCAAAGGAAUUGACGGGGGCCCGCACAAGCKUGGAGCAUGUGGUUUAACUCGACGCUACGCGAAGAACCUUACCUGGGCUUGACAUGUAGUGGUAAAGACCCGAAAGGGCGAUGACUUUGGGGUAACUCAUUGAGCCUACACAGGUGCUCAUGGCUGUCGUCAGCUCGUGCCGUGAGGUGUUGGGUUAAGUCCCGCAACGAGCGCAACCCUAUUCUCUGUUGGUCGCAAGACCGCUCUGAGGAAACUGCCAGCGAUGAGCUGGAGGAGGUGGGGACGACGUCAAGUCAUCAUGGCCCUUACGUCCAGGGCUACACACGUGCUACAAGGCCUCUACAGAHGGUCGCAAGACCGUGAGGUGGAGCCAAUCCCUAAAAGAGGUCUCAGUGGGAUCGGAGUCUGCAACUCGACUCCGUGAACGCGGAAUCGCUAGUAAUCGUGGAUCACUACGCCACGGUGAAUACGUUCCCGGGCCUUGUACACACCGCCCGUCGCACCACGAAAGCUGUUGUACCCGAAUCCGGUGCACUAACCCGCAANGGAGGUAGCUGUCUAAGGUAUGACGGUGAUUGGGGUG
Molecule: ribosomal RNA, 633 nt
Filed under: uncultured Lake Michigan sediment bacterium LMBA9
Lineage: Bacteria; Pseudomonadati; Nitrospirota
Description: bacterial SSU rRNA
Rfam family: Bacterial small subunit ribosomal RNA
Source: RNAcentral